AUGAAUUGUUUGAGUUGGAACUGUCGAGGGCUUGGGAACUCUGAGACAGUUUGGGAGCUUCGCAAGGUGGUGAAGCAAGAAGGUCCCUCCCUUCUGUUCGUUAUGGAAACAAAGAUUCAAUGGAAACGUGUUGAAAGUCUGAAGAGCUUAUUUGUUUUUUCUGGUUGUUUUUCUGUGGAUAGCAAUGGCCUUAGUGGAGGCAUUGGGCUGUACUGGACUGACAGCGUGCAAGUUGAACUUAAGAAUUACAGUAAGGCUCAUAUAGAUGUGGUAGUCAAGGGGAAUGAUCAAACCGAACCUUGGCGUUUCACAGGUUUUUACGGUGAACCCCGAGUUGAGAAUAGACAUCACAGUUGGGAGUUUAUGCGUACGUUGCAUGGAGUUCCGCAUCACGAGUGA
This 399-nucleotide ribosomal RNA is filed under the name Triticum aestivum (bread wheat). Its description in RNAcentral is "partial small subunit ribosomal RNA". The record is from RNAcentral. Lineage: Eukaryota; Viridiplantae; Streptophyta; Magnoliopsida; Poales; Poaceae.